RNAcentral lists this ribosomal RNA (274 nucleotides) under uncultured bacterium. Its description in RNAcentral is "partial small subunit ribosomal RNA". It matches the Rfam family "Bacterial small subunit ribosomal RNA", at positions 26 to 288 of the family's 1533-position model. The record is from RNAcentral.
AGAAUCAACGCUGGCGGCGUGCCUAACACAUGCAAGUCGAACGCGAAAGCCCCGCAAGGGUCAGUAGAGUGGCAAACGGGUGAGUAACACGUGGGUGAUCUGCCUCAGAGUGGGGAUAACGACCCGAAAGGUCGCUAAUACCGCAUAACAUCCUGCGCUUGGAUGCGUGGAGAUCAAAGUUGGGGAUUCGCAAGAACCUGACGCUUGGAGAGGAGCCCGCGGCCGAUUAGCUAGUUGGUGAGGUAACGGCUCACCAAGGCAACGAUCGGUAUCC